UUAAGUUGCAGGGUAUAGACCCGAAACCCGGUGAUCUAGCCAUGGGCAGGUUGAAGGUUGGGUAACACUAACUGGAGGACCGAACCGACUAAUGUUGAAAAAUUAGCGGAUGACUUGUGGCUGGGGGUGAAAGGCCAAUCAAACCGGGAGAUAGCUGGUUCUCCCCGAAAGCUAUUUAGGUAGCGCCUCGUGAAUUCAUCUCCGGGGGUAGAGCACUGUUUCGGCAAGGGGGUCAUCCCGACUUACCAACCCGAUGCAAACUGCGAAUACCGGAGAAUGUUAUCACGGGAGACACACGGCGGGUGCUAACGUCCGUCGUGAAGAGGGAAACAACCCAGACCGCCAGCUAAGGUCCCAAAGUCAUGGUUAAGUGGGAAACGAUGUGGGAAGGCCCAGACAGCCAGGAUGUUGGCUUAGAAGCAGCCAUCAUUUAAAGAAAGCGUAAUAGCUCACUGGUCGAGUCGGCCUGCGCGGAAGAUGUAACGGGGCUAAACCAUGCACCGAAGCUGCGGCAGCGACGCUUAUGCGUUGUUGGGUAGGGGAGCGUUCUGUAAGCCUGUGAAGGUGUGCUGUGAGGCAUGCUGGAGGUAUCAGAAGUGCGAAUGCUGACAUAAGUAACGAUAAAGCGGGUGAAAAGCCCGCUCGCCGGAAGACCAAGGGUUCCUGUCCAACGUUAAUCGGGGCAGGGUGAGUCGACCCCUAAGGCGAGGCCGAAAGGCGUAGUCGAUGGGAAACAGGUUAAUAUUCCUGUACUUGGUGUUACUGCGAAGGGGGGACGGAGAAGGCUAUGUUGGCCGGGCGACGGUUGUCCCGGUUUAAGCGUGUAGGCUGGUUUUCCAGGCAAAUCCGGAAAAUCAAGGCUGAGGCGUGAUGACGAGGCACUACGGUGCUGAAGCAACAAAUGCCCUGCUUCCAGGAAAAGCCUCUAAGCAUCAGGUAACAUCAAAUCGUACCCCAAACCGACACAGGUGGUCAGGUAGAGAAUACCAAGGCGCUUGAGAGAACUCGGGUGAAGGAACUAGGCAAAAUGGUGCCGUAACUUCGGGAGAAGGCACGCUGAUAUGUAGGUGAAGUCCCUCGCGGAUGGAGCUGAAAUCAGUCGAAGAUACCAGCUGGCUGCAACUGUUUAUUAAAAACACAGCACUGUGCAAACACGAAAGUGGACGUAUACGGUGUGACGCCUGCCCGGUGCCGGAAGGUUAAUUGAUGGGGUCAGCGCAAGCGAAGCUCUUGAUCGAAGCCCCGGUAAACGGCGGCCGUAACUAUAACGGUCCUAAGGUAGCGAAAUUCCUUGUCGGGUAAGUUCCGACCUGCACGAAUGGCGUAAUGAUGGCCAGGCUGUCUCCACCCGAGACUCAGUGAAAUUGAACUCGCUGUGAAGAUGCAGUGUACCCGCGGCAAGACGGAAAGACCCCGUGAACCUUUACUAUAGCUUGACACUGAACAUUGAGCCUUGAUGUGUAGGAUAGGUGGGAGGCUUAGAAGUGUGGACGCCAGUCUGCAUGGAGCCGACCUUGAAAUACCACCCUUUAAUGUUUGAUGUUCUAACGUUGACCCGUAAUCCGGGUUGCGGACAGUGUCUGGUGGGUAGUUUGACUGGGGCGGUCUCCUCCUAAAGAGUAACGGAGGAGCACGAAGGUUGGCUAAUCCUGGUCGGACAUCAGGAGGUUAGUGCAAUGGCAUAAGCCAGCUUGACUGCGAGCGUGACGGCGCGAGCAGGUGCGAAAGCAGGUCAUAGUGAUCCGGUGGUUCUGAAUGGAAGGGCCAUCGCUCAACGGAUAAAAGGUACUCCGGGGAUAACAGGCUGAUACCGCCCAAGAGUUCAUAUCGACGGCGGUGUUUGGCACCUCGAUGUCGGCUCAUCACAUCCUGGGGCUGAAGUAGGUCCCAAGGGUAUGGCUGUUCGCCAUUUAAAGUGGUACGCGAGCUGGGUUUAGAACGUCGUGAGACAGUUCGGUCCCUAUCUGCCGUGGGCGCUGGAGAACUGAGGGGGGCUGCUCCUAGUACGAGAGGACCGGAGUGGACGCAUCACUGGUGUUCGGGUUGUCAUGCCAAUGGCACUGCCCGGUAGCUAAAUGCGGAAGAGAUAAGUGCUGAAAGCAUCUAAGCACGAAACUUGCCCCGAGAUGAGUUCUCCCUGACUCCUUGAGAGUCCUG
Molecule: ribosomal RNA, 2157 nt
Filed under: Escherichia coli
Lineage: Bacteria; Pseudomonadati; Pseudomonadota; Gammaproteobacteria; Enterobacterales; Enterobacteriaceae
Description: partial 23S ribosomal RNA
Rfam family: Bacterial large subunit ribosomal RNA
Source: RNAcentral